GGCCGCGUGGCCCAAUGGCAAGGCGCUUGACUACGAUUCAAUCAUCAUGAUUGAGCGGUAUCAAGAGAUUCCAGGUUCGACCCCUGGCGUGGUCA
Non-coding RNA from Delphinella strobiligena, 95 nucleotides. NCBI's taxonomy places the organism in Eukaryota, Fungi, Ascomycota, Dothideomycetes, Dothideales, Dothioraceae. The record is from the annotation of a GenBank genome assembly.